UUAACUUAUUAUAUGAUACUCGGACGACAAAAUUACAAGGUUUUGGGGUCCUCUGGCAGGCACUGACCAGCGGUAGCCAGCGGUCCAAAGACGGGCCUGCCAAAGCAACAAUGGUAUUAUAAACAAAGGGUGGGAGAUAUACCCUGAAGGGCAUUUUCUCGGUAAUGAUCCUUCCGCAGCGGAAGUAUGGCUGCUACUUAUAGCAACCCCCCGAUCAACUCUCAACCCAUUAGGGCCAUCUCCAUUUGAUCUGUGAGCCUAUGUCUAGGCUGCUGGUAUUACUUUAAUAGUAAAUCCUAGCACAGUAGAGAUGUUGCCUGCUCAGCAGACUUUUAAUUCUGGCGAACCUGCAAAAACCGUUCACCUACGGAAA
Molecule: unclassified non-coding RNA, 373 nt
Filed under: uncultured fungus
Lineage: Eukaryota; Fungi
Description: sequence contains ITS1
Source: RNAcentral